CAGGGAGACAACAAAAUGUUUAAUAUUAUUUUGUCACCUUAGGUCGAUCGGUAUCUCACAUUCUUAAUUAUUUAAGGAUUUCAUUUCCUAAGUUUUUCUAGGUCACACCCAUUAUUUUUCCUGGGCCAUUAGCUCAGGUGGUUAGAGCGCACCCCUGAUAAGGGUGAGGUCCCUGGUUCAAGUCCAGGAUGGCCCAUAUCUCUAUGUUGGGGGUAUAGCUCAGUUGGUAGAGCGCCUGCUUUGCAAGCAGGAUGUCAGCGGUUCGAGUCCGCUUACCUCCACUGAUUACCACCUCUUCCAUAAUCUGUAAAAGGGAAAAGUUAUGAGUCGUGAUCAAAUUCUGAACGAAUCUAGCUUCCUAAUAAUUUUAUUAAGAUGCUGGACUCAUUGAAUUAAUUUCAUUGUUUUCAGAGAACCUUGACAACUGCAUAGAUUAUUUUUAAAGACAAUAAGCAUCUUUAAUGAUGCAGAUUUAUUAUUUGUGCGAAUGCAUUAAUAACAAUUCUAUUAAGCUGAUGCUUCAAUUAUUGAAGUUAUU
Molecule: transfer RNA, 538 nt
Filed under: uncultured Prochlorococcus sp.
Lineage: Bacteria; Bacillati; Cyanobacteriota; Cyanophyceae; Synechococcales; Prochlorococcaceae
Description: partial 16S-23S ribosomal RNA intergenic spacer
Rfam family: tRNA (bases 209-281)
Source: RNAcentral